GGGGAUUUAGCUCAGCGGCAUUAAGCACCUGCCUUGCAAGCAGGUGGUCGUGGGUUCGAUCCCCGUACCA
Molecule: transfer RNA, 70 nt
Organism: Cavia porcellus (domestic guinea pig)
Lineage: Eukaryota; Metazoa; Chordata; Mammalia; Rodentia; Caviidae
Rfam family: tRNA
About the family: Transfer RNA (tRNA) molecules are approximately 80 nucleotides in length. Their secondary structure includes four short double-helical elements and three loops (D, anti-codon, and T loops).
Source: Rfam